CAGUGAAUCAUCGAGUCUUUGAACGCACAUUGCGCCCCCUGGUAUUCCGGGGGGCAUGCCUGUCCGAGCGUCA
This 73-nucleotide ribosomal RNA is filed under the name Aspergillus carbonarius ITEM 5010. RNAcentral's name for it is "5.8S ribosomal RNA". It matches the Rfam family "5.8S ribosomal RNA", at positions 82 to 154 of the family's 154-position model. Rfam says of the family: 5.8S ribosomal RNA (5.8S rRNA) is a component of the large subunit of the eukaryotic ribosome. RNAcentral also lists the same sequence under 1 other name. Lineage: Eukaryota; Fungi; Ascomycota; Eurotiomycetes; Eurotiales; Aspergillaceae. The record is from Rfam by way of RNAcentral.